GCGCCCUCUGCUGUCCAAAUAUUGACCGGACAAAUGUGUUCUCUCUCUGCUCAUUUCGUCCAGCAGGGGACCGAGCAGAGGGAAUCUGGAGGAAAGAAAGAAGAAAUCCAGAGAUCUGAGUCAGCAGCGGCUCCAGUUUGCUUCUUCCCACUUCCGUGGGUCCAUUUCAGCUCUGAUCGCCAUCAAACCAACACGCUAAUGCUUAGCAGUGAACACACCUGGGUCUCCAUCUUCCGAUAAGAAGCAUCCGUGGAAGGAAUGAAAACGAGCUCAGACACAGAAGAGAGAGAGAAGAGUCUGUCUCGACGAGACGCUUUGAUGAACAAGAGGAUUAAAACAGAUCGCCACACUCACCACACGCCCCUGUGCUAAACAUUUACCUCCAAGCUUCAUGUCCGUCCGAGUUUCAGCCAUGAGUGUUCUUCCUCCUGUUCGAAGGGACCGUAUCAUCGCUCAGCUCCCUCAGUAUUUUAGGAAAGAUGCAGCUCUCCACAUUAAGGAGGAUUUCAACAACAAAGUGAAGACUGCGUGUCAGGAGCAGCGUACCGGCACUGUGGGCAGAUUUAAAAUCUCUAAGGUCAUUGUUGUGGGCGAUCUGGCUGUGGGGAAAACCUGUCUGAUUAAUAGGUUUUGCAAAGACGCUUUUGAUAAAAACUACAAGGCAACGAUCGGCGUUGACUUUGAGAUGGAGCGCUUUGAGGUGCUGGGCGUUCCUUUCAGCCUACAGCUCUGGGACACUGCAGGCCAAGAGAGAUUCAAGUGCAUUGCUUCAACAUACUACAGAGGAGCCCAGGUUGUGAUUAUCGCAUUUGAUGUAAAUGACGUCGCGUCUUUGGGCCAUGUGAGACAGUGGCUGGAGGACGCCCUGAAAGAGAACGACCCCACCGCCGUUCAGCUGUUCCUCGUGGGCACAAAGAAAGACCUGAGCAGGGCUUCUCCUGUCCUUCCUGAGUCACUCCCUUGCAGUGCAGGACAUUUCUCCUGCUCAGUAUUCUCAGAUCGAACAAGAUGCUCUCAAACUAGCACAAGAGAUCAGAGCAGAGUAUUGGGCUGUGUCGUCACUCACAGGGGAAAACGUCAAAGAGUUUUUCUUUCGAGUUGCAUCGUUGGCAUUUGAGACCAACGUUCUUGCGGAGUUGGAGAAAAGUGGAUCGAGGCAAAUUGGGGGCAUCGUCAGAAUUAACAGCACGUCAAACAAUGCGUACGCUUCAUCGAAGAAGAAGCAGCCGAACUGCUGCCAGUAAGGAUGGAAGCAGGAGUUGAAAGUCAAAAGUAAAGACUGAAAUGAAGAAAAAGACUGGAGGGAUUUCUGUGGUCAAAGCAGGAGGAGGGAGGCUGGAGUUUUAACUUCCUGACAUGUGAGAGUUUAGUUUUUCCUGGCUUAGAACCAGUUUUCCCUCUGUGGGAUGUGGAUUCUUCUGGCCUUGCUCAGUUUAACUUGUCUGGAGUUACAGGGUGACACAGCAGUUCCACAAAAAUGACUGUUCUGGUACAGCAGAGAGGCCAAAGAAUGUUUUUUAAUAUGUUGCUCAAACUGUCUCGCUGCUGUAGUUUGCAAAUUAAGAUUUUUCUUCACACUAAUACUGUUUUAAAUGACUGUGUUUACUUGGUACUUAAUCCUCUUUUCAUAAUAUUGUAGAUCAGACAUUCCCAACCUUUCUGUAAGAAGUAAGACUAUGCAAAUCACAAGAAAAAAGCAAAGAUUUGAAGAUAGUCUGAAAAAAUAAACAGAAUUUUGCGUAGCAGGAA
RNA transcript from Perca flavescens (yellow perch), 1749 nucleotides. It is a transcript of the gene named RAB34, member RAS oncogene family a, with no coding region annotated. The record is from RefSeq and is a predicted model, not a curated record. The transcript has 13 exons. NCBI's taxonomy places the organism in Eukaryota, Metazoa, Chordata, Actinopteri, Perciformes, Percidae.